UACGUAGGGUGCGAGCGUUAAUCGGAAUUACUGGGCGUAAAGCGUGCGCAGGCGGUUUUGUAAGCCAGAUGUGAAAUCCCCGGGCUUAACCUGGGAAUGGCAUUUGGGACUGCAAGGCUCGAGUGCGGCAGAGGAGACUGGAAUUCCUGGUGUAGCAGUGAAAUGCGUAGAUAUCAGGAGGAACACCGAUGGCGAAGGCAGGUCUCUGGGCUGACACUGACGCUGAGGAGCGAAAGCCAGGGGAGCAAACGGG
Molecule: ribosomal RNA, 253 nt
Filed under: uncultured bacterium
Lineage: Bacteria
Description: partial 16S ribosomal RNA
Rfam family: Bacterial small subunit ribosomal RNA
Source: RNAcentral